This 273-nucleotide ribosomal RNA is filed under the name uncultured bacterium. Its description in RNAcentral is "partial 16S ribosomal RNA". It matches the Rfam family "Bacterial small subunit ribosomal RNA", at positions 29 to 315 of the family's 1533-position model. The record is from RNAcentral.
AACGAACGCUGGCGGCAGGCCUAACACAUGCAAGUCGAACGCCGUAGCAAUACGGAGUGGCAGACGGGUGAGUAACGCGUGGGAACAUACCCCUCGGUUCGGAAUAACUUAGGGAAACUUGAGCUAAUACCGGAUACGUCCGAGGUUUUAACCGGCCUCGGAGAAAGAUUUAUCGCCGGAGGAUUGGCCCGCGUCUGAUUAGCUUGUUGGUGAGGUAAUGGCUCACCAAGGCGACGAUCAGUAGCNGGUCUGAGAGGAUGAUCAGCCACACGU